Molecule: ribosomal RNA, 588 nt
Filed under: uncultured bacterium
Lineage: Bacteria
Description: bacterial SSU rRNA
Rfam family: Bacterial small subunit ribosomal RNA
Source: RNAcentral
CCAGACUCCUACGGGAGGCAGCAGUGGGGAAUAUUGCACAAUGGGCGGAAGCCUGAUGCAGCAACGCCGCGUGCGGGAUGACGGCCUUCGGGUUGUAAACCGCUUUCGCCUGUGACGAAGCGUGAGUGACGGUAAUGGGUAAAGAAGCACCGGCUAACUACGUGCCAGCAGCCGCGGUGAUACGUAGGGUGCGAGCGUUGUCCGGAUUUAUUGGGCGUGAAGGGCUCGUAGGUGGUUGAUCGCGUCGGAAGUGUAAUCUUGGGGCUUAACCCUGAGCGUGCUUUCGAUACGGGUUGACUUGAGGAAGGUAGGGGAGAAUGGAAUUCCUGGUGGAGCGGUGGAAUGCGCAGAUAUCAGGAGGAACACCAGUGGCGAAGGCGGUUCUCUGGGCCUUUCCUGACGCUGAGGAGCGAAAGCGUGGGGAGCGAACAGGCUUAGAUACCCUGGUAGUCCACGCUGUAAACGGUGGGUACUAGGUGUGGGGUCCAUUCCACGGGUUCCGUGCCGUAGCUAACGCUUUAAGUACCCCGCCUGGGGAGUACGGCCGCAAGGCUAAAACUCAAAGGAAUUGACGGGGGCCCGCACAAG